GGCGCUGUGGCUCAAAUGGUAGAGCACUAGCUUUGAGCUCUAAGAGCUGAGGGACAGCGCCA
RNAcentral lists this transfer RNA (62 nucleotides) under Dipodomys ordii (Ord's kangaroo rat). It matches the Rfam family "tRNA". Rfam says of the family: Transfer RNA (tRNA) molecules are approximately 80 nucleotides in length. Their secondary structure includes four short double-helical elements and three loops (D, anti-codon, and T loops). Further hydrogen bonds mediate the characteristic L-shaped molecular structure. tRNAs have two regions of fundamental functional importance: the anti-codon, which is responsible for specific mRNA codon recognition, and the 3' end, to which the tRNAs corresponding amino acid is attached (by aminoacyl-tRNA synthetases). tRNAs cope with the degeneracy of the genetic code in two manners: having more than one tRNA (with a specific anti-codon) for a particular amino acid; and 'wobble' base-pairing, i.e. permitting non-standard base-pairing at the 3rd anti-codon position. Lineage: Eukaryota; Metazoa; Chordata; Mammalia; Rodentia; Heteromyidae. The record is from Rfam by way of RNAcentral.